CCUACGGGUGGCAGCAGUGGGGAAUAUUGGACAAUGGGCGAAAGCCUGAUCCAGCCAUGCCGCGUGUGUGAAGAAGGCCUUCGGGUUGUAAAGCACUUUCAGUGGGGAAGAAAGCCUUGGGGCUAAUACCCUCGAGGAAGGACAUCACCCACAGAAGAAGCACCGGCUAACUCCGUGCCAGCAGCCGCGGUAAUACGGAGGGUGCGAGCGUUAAUCGGAAUUACUGGGCGUAAAGCGCGCGUAGGCGGUCUGAUAAGCCGGUUGUGAAAGCCCCGGGCUCAACCUGGGAACGGCAUCCGGAACUGUCAGGCUAGAGUGCAGGAGAGGAAGGUAGAAUUCCCGGUGUAGCGGUGAAAUGCGUAGAGAUCGGGAGGAAUACCAGUGGCGAAGGCGGCCUUCUGGACUGACACUGACGCUGAGGUGCGAAAGCGUGGGUAGCAAACAGGAUUAGAUACCCUGGUCGUC
RNAcentral lists this ribosomal RNA (465 nucleotides) under Vreelandella stevensii. RNAcentral's name for it is "partial 16S ribosomal RNA". It matches the Rfam family "Bacterial small subunit ribosomal RNA", at positions 338 to 795 of the family's 1533-position model. Lineage: Bacteria; Pseudomonadati; Pseudomonadota; Gammaproteobacteria; Oceanospirillales; Halomonadaceae. The record is from RNAcentral.